GGUGGACUUGCUCAGACUAGCGGGUCUGAAGUGACGUGCCAGACAAGGCAUGUUCUUCGACAACAGCUUCCUGAAGUGAUUCUGAAACCGCUUACCCACAAAGGAGUAGAACAUGGGGCUGAUGCAACAAUACAAGAACGCUAUGUUUCUGGUCACGUACAACGCAUAGUUCAGAGCUUCGACCUGAACGCACAUCGGGUUUGCUUUGUCGGCUGUGGAGAUCUGAAUGGCCUUCAGCAGGAUCACGAUGUUAUAGGGAGUCCAGCAAACGAAGAAGGUGAACAUGAUGAUGAAUAUCAGCUUCACCGAGCGCCAUUUCUCCCUCAUGCGAGUGGACAUGAUCCGCACGGUGAUGCAGGUGUAGCAGUACAUCACAAUGAAGAGGGGCAGCAGGAAGAAGAGGAGGAACUGCAUGUAGUAGCUGACCAGAUUCCACUGUUCGACGACGUCGGCGUGGUAUCCUGUCUCCUCACACAUCAGGCCCUGCUCGCUGUCCUUCCACACGCCUUUGAACACCAGCUCAUUUAGACUGGCCAGCACACUGAUGAACCAAACGAUCAACGACGCCCCGAUGGCGUACGCCCUCCUCCUGCUCUUGGCAGCGGACACCGCGUGCACCACGGCCAGGUAGCGGUCAAAGGUCAUCAGGGUGAGGAAGAGGAUGGAACUGUAGAAACCGAUCAGAUGGGCACUGCUGACCAACUUGCAAAGCACCGUGCCGAAGAUCCACUCGGAGGAAUGGUAUUUGGCCAGGAAGGGGAAGCUGGAUGCAAACAGGAUGUUAGAGGUGACCAGAUUGAUGAGGAAGAUGUUAGUGACGCUGUUGACCUUCUCAAGCUUGACGAUGAUGAACAAAACAAGCCAGUUGCCCAAGUAACUCAGGAGGAAGUUGAUGUAGUAGAAAUAAGGAAUCAUGGCCGAGCCCAAUUGGUUGACGUUUGAUGCAGAGCAGAGUUUGACGUGCUCGUUAUCCUCACAAUCUGGAUAGCUUGUGUUUUCACUGUUGUUAAGCAUAUCCCAGAUUUUUUCAUCCUCAUCAUCAUAAUUAUGCUCAUACUCCAUGGUUAUUGCUUGAACCUGUGGUAGAUUGGAAAACAUAUUUAUAAGUCUCAUAUGAUUGAAUGCUGUGCAAAUCGAUGUAUUCAUCUACAUGGGUGAUAUGUUUUCGAUACGGAAGGCUGUGCCCAUCAUGCAUAAGCUGCUCUGAAGUAGAGCUUCAAAUGACAACACAAUUAAAACACUUUUAUACUUAAAAGGUCUGGAUCAAAUAUUUUGCAGUUAAAAGAACAAAUGAUAAUAAUAAUAAUAAUAUAAUAGUUCUAAUAUAAUAUGAGAAAUAUUUAAUAUAUUAUUAAUAUAAUAAGCAAGACAAUAGCUGAGAGCUCUACAGUGACAGCUUUCAGGUAUCAAACAUAGUGUUUCGGUGACUGCAGAAAUAUAGUUAUAACAUACACUGUGCAUACAUACCUCACAUAUAACACUGUACAAAUUAAUAUAGGAUCUUUUCUAUGCCCAAAUCAUGUUUCUUACUCAUUAUUUUACUGGUUGUAAUUGCAGCUUGUCUUCUCCAUUCUUUAAAAUAAAUACGAAUGCUAAUAAUUGAUUGAUAAUAAUACAUAAUGACAUAAUGCUUGAGGUGGACGGGCCACCGUCUAGUCAUUUCAGUGUAAAGGGAGAACUUAAUUUGGCUUUUAAAAGAUUCGUCUUAAACAAAAUAACUCACCAAUGUUGAUUUCCGUAUUUCGAGGAGUGGAUGAGUGAAGAGCUGUGGGUGUUUAGCAUAGACAUGAGGGUUAACGGGAAGGCCUUAAGAGGAACUGAGAUAUCCUCCCCAUUUACAUUACGCAACUUUAAAUGGACACCUCUCGCACAUACGAUGAUUCUGGCACCAAUACUGAACAGAAGCUUGGCCUGGACUCGAUGUGUUUUACACUCAUGCUUUAUAAAGUCAAAUACUGAUAAUGAUGUAAUCUAAAGCACCGUUUGAUUAGCACUUUGCAUACAAAUACGACAGCCUACUGGUACAUGCUGACCCCAACGUGGUAAACAUAACAAGACUGUUUGGCAUUACAAUACAUUGUGAUGAUUAUCAUAAUUAAUAACCUUUACAUGGCUGGCUGGAUUUAGUUUAAGAUGUAUAUCGUAAUGAGUCUGGUGAUUUUAACUAGAGGGUACCCACAUCCACAGUGGAAAAUGGAACAAUCUUUAUAGUAGGCUAAACAGCAAUUCAAAUAUGUGACACAGCUAUAUAUGCUAUCCCUACACAGUUUAAUACUGACCUAGUUUUCCUAGUCCAAUAUAAUACAAUGGUUUGAAUCUAUAAAACAAUAUAAUCAGUAAGUCAUGCAAUUCUAAUGAUUGAAAUGAAACCGUAGUAAAACCAAAAUAAAGUAAGCUCAUGCAUUUCAGAAUAUGGUCUCAUUUUUGUUGCUUGAAGAAGACACAUUGAUCAUGCAUCAGUGGUACUUUGUUCAGACAAACAACAAUACUUCACUGUUCAUCUGAAAAGAGCAUAAAAAAUAUAUCAAAUUGACCAAAACAUGUACACAAAUACUUCAAGGGUACAUUACAAGAUUCAAAAUCGACAUUUGUGUACAUUACAAGAUUCAAAAUCCAAACAUUGGUUGGAAAGAUUAAUAAAUAAGUAUAAUACUUAAAAGAAAAAGCCAACUGGUAUCUUGGAGGUACAUUAUAUCACGCAAUCACAGAACCGUUAAUUACGUUCAUUACGUUAGGUAAACUUUUUGAAUGUCUGAAAACAUUUCUUCAUGGGAAAAACAUAAUUCCAAAGCCAACAUAGGAACAAU
Molecule: long non-coding RNA, 2807 nt
Filed under: Gadus morhua (Atlantic cod)
Lineage: Eukaryota; Metazoa; Chordata; Actinopteri; Gadiformes; Gadidae
Description: lncRNA (ENSGMOG00000037050.1)
Source: RNAcentral